UACGGGGGGGGUAAGCGUUGUUCGGAAUUACUGGGCGUAAAGGGCUCGUAGGCGGCCAACUAAGUCGGACGUGAAAUCCCUCAGCUUAACUGGGGAACUGCGUCCGAUACUGGAUGGCUUGGAUUUGGGAGAGGGAUGCGGAAUUCCAGGUGUAGCGGUGAAAUGCGUAGAUAUGUGGAGGAACACCGAUGGCGAAGGCAGCCCCCUGGGUUAACACUGACGCUCAUGCACGAAAGCGUGGGGAGCAAACAGG
RNAcentral lists this ribosomal RNA (253 nucleotides) under uncultured bacterium. Its description in RNAcentral is "partial 16S ribosomal RNA". It matches the Rfam family "Bacterial small subunit ribosomal RNA", at positions 524 to 776 of the family's 1533-position model. The record is from RNAcentral.